ACGGCUGUUGAAACACCGGUUCCCGUACGAUCACCGAAGUUAAGCAAUGUCAAGCCUGGUCAAUACCCAGAUGAGAGACUGCUUGGGAAUACCAGGUGC
Molecule: non-coding RNA, 99 nt
Organism: Acanthosepion pharaonis
Lineage: Eukaryota; Metazoa; Mollusca; Cephalopoda; Sepiida; Sepiidae
Source: the annotation of a GenBank genome assembly